RNAcentral lists this ribosomal RNA (467 nucleotides) under uncultured bacterium. Its description in RNAcentral is "partial 16S ribosomal RNA". The stretch from base 54 to 467 matches the Rfam family "Bacterial small subunit ribosomal RNA", at positions 39 to 507 of the family's 1533-position model. The record is from RNAcentral.
GGGGGGGGGGGGGGGGGGGCGGGGGGGGGGGGGGGGGGGGGGAAGGGGGGGGGGCGGGGGGGACGCGAGGGGCGAAGGGGGGAGGAACACGGGAGGAGCGGGCCCGGGACGGGGGGAUAACUUCAGGAAACUGGGGCGAAUACCGGAGAGGAGCGCCUGCUGCAUGGGGGGGGGUGGAAAGGUUCGGCGGGGGGGGAUGGACUCGCGGCUUAUCAGCUUGUUGGUGGGGUAGUGGCUUACCAAGGCGUUGACGGGUAGCCGGCCUGAGAGGGUGACCGGCCAUAUUGGGACUGCGAUACGGCCCAGACUCCUACGGGAGGCAGCAGUGGGGAAUAUUGCACAAUGGGUGGAAGCCUGAUGCAGCAACGCCGUGUGCGGGAUGACGGCCUUCGGGUUGUAAACCGCUUUCGCUCAUGACGAAGCUUUGUGUGACGGUAGUGGGUAAAGAAGCACCGGCUAACUACGUG